GRGAGUGGCASASGGGWGAGUARCGCGUGRGAAUCUASCGUACCCUACGGAAUARCGCRUGGAAACGUGUGCUAAUACCGUAUACGCCCUACGGGGGAAAGAUUUAUCGGGGUAUGAUGAGCCCGCGUUGGAUUAGCUAUUUGGUGGGGUAAAGGCCUACCAAGGCGACGAUCCAUAUCUGGUCUGAGAGGAUGAUCAGCCACAUUGAGACUGACACACGGCCCACACUCCUACGGGAGGCAGCAGUGGGGAAUAUUGGACUAUGCGCGCAAGCCUGAUCCAGCCAUGCCGCGUGAGUGAUGAAGGUCUUAAGAUUGUAGAGCUCUUUCACCGGAAAAGAUAAUGACGGUCUCCAGAGAAGAAGCCCCGGCUAACUUCGUG
RNAcentral lists this ribosomal RNA (381 nucleotides) under Rhizobiaceae bacterium. RNAcentral describes it as "partial 16S ribosomal RNA". The record is from RNAcentral. Lineage: Bacteria; Pseudomonadati; Pseudomonadota; Alphaproteobacteria; Hyphomicrobiales; Rhizobiaceae.